GGUUGUGACCAUACCAGCACCAGUACAUCGGAUCCCAUUAGAACUCCGUAGCUAAGCGUGAUUGGGCGAGAGUAGUAUUAGGAUGGGUGACCUCCUGGAUAGUCCUCGUAUUGCAACCC
Dendrobium catenatum is the source of this 119-nucleotide ribosomal RNA. The record is from RefSeq and is a predicted model, not a curated record. Lineage: Eukaryota; Viridiplantae; Streptophyta; Magnoliopsida; Asparagales; Orchidaceae.